GAGGAAUAUUGGUCAAUGGGCGAGAGCCUGAACCAGCCAAGUAGCGUGCGGGAUGAAGGCCCUUGUGGUCGUAAACCGCUUUUAUCAGUGAAUAAAAUGCAUCACGUGUGGUGUCAUUGCAGGUAGCUGAAGAAAAAGGACCGGCUAAUUCCGUGCCAGCAGCCGCGGUAAUACGGAAGGUCCGGGCGUUAUCCGGAAUUAUUGGGUUUAAAGGGAGCGCAGGCGGGAGUAUAAGUCAGCUGUUAAAUAUCAGAGCCCAACUCUGUUAUGCAGUUGAAACUAUAUUUCUUGAGUACGCACAGGGAUGGCGGAAUUCAGGGUGUAGCGGUGAAAUGCUUAGAUAUCCUGAAGAACUCCGAUCGCGAAGGCAGCCAUCCGGAGCGUAACUGACGCUGAGGCUCGAAGGUGCGGGUAUCGAACAGGACUAGAUACCCUGGUAGUCCGCACGGUAAACGAUGAAUACUCGCAGUUCGGUCAUUAUGAUUGAGUUGUCCAGCGAAAGCGUUAAGUAUUCCACCUGGGGAGUACGCCGGCAACGGUG
This 541-nucleotide ribosomal RNA is filed under the name uncultured bacterium. Its description in RNAcentral is "bacterial SSU rRNA". It matches the Rfam family "Bacterial small subunit ribosomal RNA", at positions 356 to 896 of the family's 1533-position model. The record is from RNAcentral.